This 403-nucleotide ribosomal RNA is filed under the name bacterium. RNAcentral describes it as "partial 16S ribosomal RNA". It matches the Rfam family "Bacterial small subunit ribosomal RNA", at positions 355 to 776 of the family's 1533-position model. The record is from RNAcentral.
UGGGGAAUAUUGCACAAUGGAGGGAACUCUGAUGCAGCGACGCCGCGUGAACGAAGAAGGCUUUCGAGUCGUAAAGUUCUUUUAUAUGGGAAGAUAAUGACGGUACCAUAAGAAAAAGCCCCGGCUAACUACGUGCCAGCAGCCGCGGUAAUACGUAGGGGGCUAGCGUUGUCCGGAAUCACUGGGCGUAAAGGGUUCGCAGGCGGAAAUGCAAGUCAGGUGUAAAAGGCAGUAGCUUAACUACUGUAAGCAUUUGAAACUGCAUAUCUUGAGAAGAGUAGAGGUAAGUGGAAUUUUUAGUGUAGCGGUGAAAUGCGUAGAUAUUAAAAAGAAUACCGGUGGCGAAGGCGACUUACUGGGCUCAUUCUGACGCUGAGGAACGAAAGCGAGGGUAGCAAACAGG